RNAcentral lists this long non-coding RNA (1649 nucleotides) under Homo sapiens (human). RNAcentral's name for it is "HSALNT0385268". The record is from RNAcentral. Lineage: Eukaryota; Metazoa; Chordata; Mammalia; Primates; Hominidae.
GUCUGGCAUCGCGGCGCCUCCCUUGCUGCCCCGGGCCUGCUCUGGAGAUGCCAGUGCUGUCCCAGCCCCGCAGCGCGGCCUCAGCCUCCGGCCCGGCGCAUCGGCCGCACCACCUGCGCCCUGGACCCCGCCGCCCCAACCUGGCCCCAGAUGCUGAAGCCCGCAGCCGUCGGGAGCAUGGACCGGCCCCGAGGUGCGCGGGACGCAGGGGGCGCGCGCAGUCCGCCCUUCCUACCCGCAACCUCCCUCGCCUCUGCCAGCCCCGCAGGCGCUCCGGGCCUCCAGCUGCGGUCGCCGCUGCUCCAGCUGCGCGUGGCUUCCGGGAACCUCCUCCUCCGCGCCCGUCGUUGCAAAAUUGGAGAGAGGAAAAAGUGGCUUAAAAAAAUAGUUGCGGCCCCUUUAAGGCCUGUCGGCUUCCUUUCCCUUUUCCUCCCUCCGCCCCUCUCCCUUGGCUCGUACCAAAGCGCAGAGGAGGAGAGGGAGGAAGGAACCAUUAACGUCAAGCAAAGUUAGAAACGGAAAAGGAAAGGGUAAAAGAGAAGACCGAAUAAAAAUCUCUGCUUUCCUUUUGUGGAGGGUAUGACUUCCUGGAGGCAAAGAUAAGGCGAUAAAAUUCCUCCUCCUGAGUCUUUGCGUCCCCAAGAGGCCAGGAGAUUUGGUGCAGUCCUCACUUUACUCCCCGCCCCCUAAGUCUCCAGCCGCCUUUGCUCUCGCAGGCUCUAGGCGGCUAGAGAGGCUCCAGAGCGCCCUGCAGAUGGGUUGCUUUUCGCGUGCCCCUUGUGAUGGGAGGAUUAGGUCGCAGGCUCCACCCUACGUCAUCCUCCCAAGCUUCUCAAGCGUCUGGCGCUUGGGGUCACUGCCCUCAAGGAGGCACCUGGAGGGGUACGGAGGGGAGGCUGGAGGAGCAAACGGGGCGCGCUAGGAAAUUCCUCUGUCUUUAGUUCUAGAACCCCUGAUCUCCUAGCAACGAGGCUGCGGAACCUCUGCAGACUCCAAGGGUUUUAUAGCGUCCGGUAGCGACACGGAGCCGGCUCCCCCUUUUCCAGCCUUCCUCCCCAUCUCCCAUUCUCCAUCCCCCACGACCUAUACCAGAGGUCCUUAGGCCUCCACGUCUCUCCUUUUGCCGAGUAGCCCAAGGUUUCCACCCAUCUGCCAGGCUUCGUUAUCUCGUUCUGAGGAAUACCUGUCCCAGAUCAGUGCAGAACUCAUGGAGGAGGCUUUGUGCACUGCUUGCUGCCACUUGAACCCUGUGCCCAUCAAAAAAAAGCAGUCACAAGACCAAGCGACUCAGAUAUCCAAACGCGCAUUCUUCACCAAGACCUGAGGCACAGACACCUGGUGAGUGAGGCUUCAAGGGAGAUGCUCUUUGUCCUGGGAGAGAGAAACCGUACCUGCAGCAAGGCAUACCUCCUGCCAACUCCUGGUGAAAAGAACAUGCCUCAAAACUACUCUUUUGCCACUCGUUAACCACUUCCGUUUGUGGGGACCUCCUGGUCAUGAGCAGCAUCAUCCCGAAGCCUUCAAAGUGUUCUGGAUUCAUCACAGGACCCUCCAGCCUCAGCCAGCAAGGAUACCACCAGGAAUGAAAGUGCUUUAAUAAAGAGACAGGGUGUGCAUUGCUCAUGUGUGGUUUCUCUGGGGUAGAGAAG